This 1343-nucleotide ribosomal RNA is filed under the name uncultured bacterium. Its description in RNAcentral is "16S ribosomal RNA". It matches the Rfam family "Bacterial small subunit ribosomal RNA", at positions 28 to 1378 of the family's 1533-position model. The record is from RNAcentral.
GACGAACGCUGGCGGCGUGCUUAACACAUGCAAGUCGAACGGAAAGGCCCUGCUUUUGUGGGGUGCUCGAGUGGCGAACGGGUGAGUAACACGUGAGUAACCUGCCCUUGACUUUGGGAUAACUUCAGGAAACUGGGGCUAAUACCGGAUAGGAGCUCCUGCUGCAUGGUGGGGGUUGGAAAGUUUCGGCGGUUGGGGAUGGACUCGCGGCUUAUCAGCUUGUUGGUGGGGUAGUGGCUUACCAAGGCUUUGACGGGUAGCCGGCCUGAGAGGGUGACCGGCCACAUUGGGACUGAGAUACGGCCCAGACUCCUACGGGAGGCAGCAGUGGGGAAUAUUGCACAAUGGGCGGAAGCCUGAUGCAGCAACGCCGCGUGCGGGAUGACGGCCUUCGGGUUGUAAACCGCUUUCGCCUGUGACGAAGCGUGAGUGACAGUAAUGGGUAAAGAAGCACCGGCUAACUACGUGCCAGCAGCCGCGGCGAUACGUAGGGUGCGAGCGUUGUCCGGAUUUAUUGGGCGUAAAGGGCUCGUAGGUGGUUGAUCGCGUCGGAAGUGUAAUCUUGGGGCUUAACCCUGAGCGUGCUUUCGAUACGGGUUGACUUGAGGAAGGUAGGGGAGAAUGGAAUUCCUGGUGGAGCGGUGGAAUGCGCAGAUAUCAGGAGGAACACCAGUGGCGAAGGCGGUUCUCUGGGCCUUUCCUGACGCUGAGGAGCGAAAGCGUGGGGAGCGAACAGGCUUAGAUACCCUGGUAGUCCACGCUGUAAACGGUGGGUACUAGGUGUGGGGUCCAUUCCACGGGUUCCGUGCCGUAGCUAACGCUUUAAGUACCCCGCCUGGGGAGUACGGCCGCAAGGCUAAAACUCAAAGGAAUUGACGGGGCCCCGCACAAGCGGCGGAGCAUGCGGAUUAAUUCGAUGCAACGCGUAGAACCUUACCUGGGUUUGACAUGGAUCGGGAGCGCUCAGAGAUGGGUGUGCCUCUUUUGGGGUCGGUUCACAGGUGGUGCAUGGCUGUCGUCAGCUCGUGUCGUGAGAUGUUGGGUUAAGUCCCGCAACGAGCGCAACCCUUGUUCACUGUUGCCAGCACGUUAUGGUGGGGACUCAGUGGAGACCGCCGGGGUCAACUCGGAGGAAGGUGGGGAUGACGUCAAGUCAUCAUGCCCCUUAUGUCCAGGGCUUCACGCAUGCUACAAUGGCUGGUACAGGGAGUGGCGAGCCUGUGAGGGUGAGCGAAUCUCGGAAAGCCGGUCUCAGUUCGGAUUGGGGUCUGCAACUCGACCUCAUGAAGUCGGAGUCGCUAGUAAUCGCAGAUCAGCAACGCUGCGGUGAAUACGUUCCCGGG